AGGACAACGUAUAGCCCCAUAAGAGUUUACAGAUGCCAAAAAGGCCCAAAAGUCCAUUAAACAACCGCUUAGAAUAAAAGAGAUUUUGACAUUGGACUCAAUCCAAACCCUCGUGUCAUCUAGUGGACAUAGCCACAACACGUGUAGGAUGAGUAAACAGAAGUUUUCCGAUAUCAACUUUCGCCGUGAGCAUCGUUCCGGUGAGAAAUUGUCGUCAAGAUACAUCAAACGAAAUUUCUGGUUAUCACCGAAUCCAAACGAAACUCCAUGAUAAUCUAACAGCUUAAGGAAAUCAGAAUAUGCAUCGGAAGAUUCUUCGAUUCUUUAAUCUAAAACGUCAUCUCCAAAUAGAUUUCUGCAAACUCAUAUUUUCAAUGGAAACAAGCAGGAGAAUAAUAAUUUUAAGUAACAGAGCACCUAAAAUUUUCCACCAAACCAGAUCCAUGGAUAUUAUUGAAAGAAAAACAACAACAAAACUAAAGAGAUCGGAAGACGAAACCCGAUCUACGGCGGGGUGAAAACGCAAAGCCGGCCAACGUCGCUAGAUGAGUCGAUCGCUGCCAGACAUAAGCCAACCAUCUCCAUAAACGAUUGAGAAGAUGCUGGACAUGGGUAGUCACCGGAAAAAUCCGGCCGACUAAAGCAAGAAAAGUUUCAGCUUUCUCUCUCUAAAUGAUGCGAGAGAGAGAAGAGAGAGAAAAGCGAGUGAGCAUGUCUUGCUUUAGUU
This 727-nucleotide long non-coding RNA is filed under the name Arabidopsis lyrata. RNAcentral describes it as "long non-coding RNA (ALYR_LNC001926)". Lineage: Eukaryota; Viridiplantae; Streptophyta; Magnoliopsida; Brassicales; Brassicaceae. The record is from RNAcentral.